RNAcentral lists this ribosomal RNA (151 nucleotides) under uncultured bacterium. RNAcentral's name for it is "partial 16S ribosomal RNA". It matches the Rfam family "Bacterial small subunit ribosomal RNA", at positions 355 to 498 of the family's 1533-position model. The record is from RNAcentral.
UAGGGAAUCUUCCACAAUGGACGAAAGUCUGAUGGAGCAACGCCGCGUGAGUGAAGAAGGGUUUCGGCUCGUAAAGCUCUGUUGGUAGUGAAGAAAGAUAGAGGUAGUAACUGGCCUUUAUUUGACGGUAAUUACUUAGAAAGUCACGGCU